Molecule: ribosomal RNA, 776 nt
Filed under: uncultured archaeon
Lineage: Archaea
Description: bacterial SSU rRNA
Rfam family: Archaeal small subunit ribosomal RNA
Source: RNAcentral
AGUCCUGCUAUCGGGGUUCGAUUAGCCAUGCGAGUCGAGAGGGUUCGGCCCUCGGCAUACUGCUCAGUAACACGUGGAUAACCUGCCCUAAGGUGGAGCAUAACCCCGGGAAACUGGGGAUAAUACUCCAUAGGCUACCGAGGCUGGAAUGCGCGGUAACCGAAAGUUCCGGCGCCUUAGGAUGGAUCUGCGGCCGAUUAGGUUGUUGUUGGGGUAAUGGCCCAACAAGCCCGUAAUCGGUACGGGUUGUGGGAGCAAGAGCCCGGAGAUGGACUCUGAGACACGAGUCCAGGCCCUACGGGGCGCAGCAGGCGCGAAAACUUUACAAUGCGGGAAACCGUGAUAAGGGAACCCCGAGUGCCCGUAUACGCGGGCUGUCCAGGUGUAUAAAAAGCAUCUGAAGAAAGGGCCGGGCAAGACCGGUGCCAGCCGCCGCGGUAAUACCGGCGGCUCGAGUGGUGGCCACUUUUAUUGGGCUUAAAGCGUUCGUAGCUUGGUUGUUAAGUCUCUUGGGAAAUCUCACGGCUCAACCGUGAGGCGUCUAAGGGAUACUGGCAACCUAGGGACCGGAAGAGGUGAGAGGUACUCCAGGGGUAGGAGUGAAAUCCUGUAAUCCUUGGGGGACCACCUGUGGCGAAGGCGUCUCACCAGGACGGCUCCGACAGUGAGGGACGAAAGCUGGGGGAGCAAACCGGAUUAGAUACCCGGGUAGUCCCAGCCGUAAACGAUGCGCGUUAGGUGUAUCGGUGACCACGAGUCACCGAGGUGCCGAAAGG